UACGUAGGGUGCGAGCGUUAAUCGGAAUUACUGGGCGGAAAGCGUGCGCAGGCGGUUUUGUAAGCCAGAUGUGAAAUCCCCGGGCUUAACCUGGGAAUGGCAUUUGGGACUGCAAGGCUUGAGUGCGGCAGAGGAGACUGGAAUUCCUGGUGUAGCAGUGAAAUGCGUAGAUAUCAGGAGGAACACCGAUGGCGAAGGCAGGUCUCUGGGCUGACACUGACGCUCAUGCACGAAAGCGUGGGGAGCAAACAGG
Molecule: ribosomal RNA, 253 nt
Filed under: uncultured bacterium
Lineage: Bacteria
Description: partial 16S ribosomal RNA
Rfam family: Bacterial small subunit ribosomal RNA
Source: RNAcentral